Molecule: long non-coding RNA, 644 nt
Filed under: Olea europaea subsp. europaea
Lineage: Eukaryota; Viridiplantae; Streptophyta; Magnoliopsida; Lamiales; Oleaceae
Source: RNAcentral
CAAAGAUAAAAAAAAAAAAAUCUACAACAUAAACAAACAAAUAUUAUUGUUCAAACCCAUAAUGUUCACAGCUUAAGGUCCACAUCUCUUCUCGAUUAAAAAAUUUGCUCUUCAUAAAACAAACACUGUCUGAACUCUUCUCAAAAAAUUCUAAGCAAACUCCAUAAUAAUUCAAAACUAUAAAACUCAAUCAAAAUCUUCUCUUUCUCCUUGUUUAAUUCACGAGAAAUCACUUUGAAAUCCAACUUUUUUACACAAAAUUGAUAACCCCUCACUUUAAAAUUAUUUGAUAUCACUCCUUAGUAGAAACAUCAACUUUACAACAUUCCCAUCCAUCUUCAAAAACCCACCUGUGUAAAUAAAAGUUAAAUUUGUCGUAAGUGAGGGAAAUCUGGUGCUGACUUAGCUACCGGCCAGAGAUGGUCAAGCGUGCAGAUGUGAAACCAUGGAUGGUAGAGCAGCCUAAAUGGACGCAAAAAUUCUGGUGGAGUGCAACCGUAUAUCCAAAAUAGUCAAAUGAUAGAAUAGUAGAUGGAAGUGCCGCGGGAGGAACAGUGGUACCUUCGAUUGCAGCCGAAGAUGGUGAGCCAUGGGAGAGGUCUUGGCAGUGUGUGAGUUCCUUUGGGUGAAAUGUAUUGUGUGGG